UCCCUCCCUGUGGCCCUGGAGACAGGUGGGUGAUGUUCGCGCUCCUGCACAGCAUUUCAUCCCUGGAUCCAGCAUAUCCGAUCAUCCCCACCCCGAGAACGAACCCCUAGUGCUUCAGCCCCUGCUGUGCACAGCCCAUGUCACCUUAGCGACCUGAGAGUUUCUCUUGGUGACAUACCAAGGGGUGGGAUUGCUGGGUGAACGGGCAUGGACACACUUUAUUCCAAUAAAUGCCACCCCUCGGCUUUCCAGACCGGCUGUGGGGUUCACAUCCCACAGGCACUAGCCGAGAACGCUCCUCCUCCCACGGCACCCUCGGAAUUAUCCACCUUCUGAUGUUUGCUAUUCCGCUGGGCAUAAGGUGGUAUCACGUUUUCUUUGAUUUUGCAUUUCUCCGCUGCACCCUGGGCAUGAGCAUCUCUUCACGAAGUCAUCACCCAUCUGGGAUUCUGAGUCUGGGAACCACCCGUGCCCUGCAGGAGGCUGUCAUACACCACGGCUAUCCGUCCUUUGUCACGACAGCCAGUCACCUCCAAACCAUUAUUCACACACUAGCCUCUUCCCGACGAUCGUCGCUGCCACAUUCACACUAAAUGCCCAUGCAUCCGUGGACGUGCAUCUCAGCCAAUUCCCUGCAGUGAGCAUUUGCACCUUGUCAUACCUAGUGGAUCUGCCGGCUCCCUCAUUAUGAUGCUUCAGACGGUUUCUGUCAUCCUUGGGCAUUUUGUUCUCUGAGUGAACCUCCCCGUCAGCUUGUCUGGGACCACGAGACACCCACGUGCCUCGCUUCUUGGGACUCUGGCAGCGAGACGGGAAGUGCCCGAUUCGAUUCUCAGCAUUGCUUUGCUCCAGAAGACCUUGGACUUAGUCCAGGUAGGAGGAAUCAAUUUCCUCUGCUGGCUGCAGCUUUGCUGCCAAGCACUUCCUGCGGUGCCGGUGCGGAGCUGGGCCGGGAGCGAGGAGCACCGGACACAGUCUCUUACCUCUGGAACCUUCCUUCCCAUGGUAGACCCCCAGGAGCCCAGUCCAGUUUGGAAGAAAGCACGGAAAGGAGCAAUUAUAGGACUGUGGGUUGCAUCAUUUCGAGGGUACCUGGGCCACAGGUGA
Molecule: long non-coding RNA, 1107 nt
Organism: Lemur catta (Ring-tailed lemur)
Lineage: Eukaryota; Metazoa; Chordata; Mammalia; Primates; Lemuridae
Exons: 3
Source: RefSeq, a predicted model, not a curated record